RNAcentral lists this ribosomal RNA (202 nucleotides) under Hetaerina infecta. Its description in RNAcentral is "partial large subunit ribosomal RNA". The record is from RNAcentral. Lineage: Eukaryota; Metazoa; Arthropoda; Insecta; Odonata; Calopterygidae.
AAAAAUUGUCUUACUAAAUUAAUAAGGGGUUUAUUUAAGAGAAUUAUCUUUUAUUUUAGUAUUAUUAUUGAAAAAGUUGAUUUUGUAAUAGGUUACUAGUACUGUAAAGUAAUGUUGAAAUAUUUUGAAAAAAUUAUUUUAUAAAAAGCAUACAUUUUGUAGUACCUUUUGUAUCAGGGUUGAUUUAUUUUAUCUAAUGUAU